Non-coding RNA from Rattus norvegicus (Norway rat), 5894 nucleotides. Lineage: Eukaryota; Metazoa; Chordata; Mammalia; Rodentia; Muridae. The record is from RefSeq and is a predicted model, not a curated record.
UCUCUUUCUCAGUAUGAAUCUGGGGUUCGAGUUUUCUCAGCUGAACUGAGAAGCAAGCCCCACCCAUUCCCCUGUCUCCACCCACUUCUAGAGCUGAUGUUACAGGUCCGAGUGGGACAAUGGGUUUAUUUUAAAGGGUGCUGGGAUCUUAAACAGGAAGCCAACUUUUCUUUCAUCCCAUUGACUUUUUUUUUUAAGGCAGAAUGUGGUGGUUUGAAUAAGAAUGGCCCGCAUAGAUUCAUGUAUUUGAAUAUUUAGUCACCAGAGUGGAAUUGUCUUUUGGGAUUAUUAGAAGGAGGAGGCGUGCCUCCUGGAGGAGGUGUGUCACUGGGGGUAGGUUUUGAGGUUUCCAGCAUCAUGCAGAUCCUGCCCCAAUCCCCAGCCCACGUCAUAAUGAACUAAGCCUCUAAUACUGUAUGCAAGCUCACAAUGAAAUGUUCUCUCUUGUAAGAGUCUUUUCACAGCAGUAGAAUAGUGACUUAAGACAAAGGGGUUCACUAUAUAAAACUCUAUAGCCCGACAGAAUUCAUUAUGAGGAUCAAGCUGGCCUUGAAUUCCCAGAAACCUGCCUCCCCCUGCCUUUCAAGUGCUGGUAUAAAAUCAUGUCACCGCCAUGCCCAGCAACAGACAUUAAAAAUAGACUUGAUGCUGGAGAGAGGUCUUAGGGCUGGAGAUCAUUUCCCAGUGCCUACCUCAGACACCAGAGCUGCCCUACGUCCAGCUUCAAGGAAAUCCUGAGCCCUCGUGCACUCACAUACACAGACACACAACAUACACAUAAUUUAAAUUUGUCUUUUUUUCCCCCUGGAGCUGAGGACCGAACCCAGGGCCUUGUACUUGCUAGGCAAGUGCUCUACCACUAAGCUAAAUCCCCAAGCCCCUUAAAUUUAAAAAAGAUUUUAUUUAUUUGUAUGUGUGUAGGUCUGUGUGGGGCAGGGGUGCCUGGAGAAGUCAGGAGAGUGUGCUGGUACGGGAGCUGCUGCACAGCUGUGCUGAGAACUAAUUUAAGACAGGGUUUCUGUGUAGCCCUGACUGUCCUGGAACUCACUCUGUAGACCUGGCUGCCUCUGUCCCGCUAAUGCUGAGAUCAAGGGUAUGCACCACCGGGGUUUUCUGAAGAGCUGAGUGAGCUCUCCUGUCCCUGCAACAAAUGUUAGUCUUUGCGACAGGGUUUUGUUUUGUUUUGCUUUGCUUUGCUUUGUUUUUUAAGAUUUAUUUAUUUAGUUUUUAUAUAUAAGUACACUGUAGCGGUCCUCAGACACACCAGAAGAGGGCAUCAGAUCCCAUGACAGAUGGUUGUGAGCCACCAUGUGGUUGCUGGGAUUUGAACUCAGGACCUCUGGAAGAGCAGUCAGUGCUCUUAACCACUGAGCCAUCUCUCCAGCCCCUUUGUGACAGGGUCUUAAGCUGUAGCCUAGGAAGCCCAGACUGGCUUGGCACUUGGAGUAAUCCUUCCACAACUGUUUCCCUAACUGAGACUCAGGCAUGAACGGAGGGCUCUAUAACAUGCCUUUACAGCAUGUUCAGCUCUGGAGGUAAGUGGGCUCUGCUCAGACAGGCAGUCAUCAUCCCGUGAAGAUACUGUUUGCAUUGUAGAGGUCAAGCCAGUUGCUCAGGGUCACACAGCUUCUAAGUGACCAAAGCCUAGGAUUCUCCCUCUCACUUCAACCUUCAAGGUUUUACUAUGUAACCCUGGGAUCUAGCUGCUUGCCUCUGCUUCCGAGUGCUGGGGUUAAAGGUGUGCAGUUAAGUCAGGUGAGGAUGUUGCACACUUCUAGUCCUGGCACUUAGGAGGCAUAGACAGAUGGAUCUCUGUGAGUUCGAGGCCAGCCUGGUCUAUAGGAGUUCCAGGAUAGUCAAGGCUACAUAGAGAAACCCUGUCUCAAAAAACAAAAGCAGCCAACAACAACAACAGGUGUGUAGUUGAGGCUGGGUUUCAGAGACUACGCUCUCUUCUCUGCAGGUAAAGCUGUCCCUGGGCUCUGACACUACCCCCAGGCUCAGAAGCAGCAUCCAUCAGGGACAGGCAGCUGGAGGAGUCUGAACUUGUGGCAUGUCUGAAGUACAAGUCCCAUUUUGUAUCAUGGGGAAUGCAGAGUACUGGCCUAGCUGCUCUAGAGAGGCCAGAAGAGGAUACUGGGUCCCCUGGAACUGGAAGUCGUUAGCUAUUGAGGCCUGCUCCUUUUAACAAAACUGCAGCCCUUUUGUAUUCAAACUCCAUGUUAAGUUCAUAAUUAUUAUUCUGACACUGAAGAAUGUUACCCUAUUAUCUCAAUGUUCUGAGACUCCCUUGCUCACCACAGGGCCACCACUCCUCCUCUCCUCCUAAGACGAGGACCAGUCAGCCUGAAGAUUAGCUGAUAACACUUUGUCUAGUUAGCCAAAAAUGAUGCACCUCUUCACUGCUUGCCUUUGAACCUUCGAACCUAGGUUUUCAUAUAAAACGUCUGCCCUGAGGACAGACAGGUGCCACAGUUAGGUUUUCCUCCUUGUGGCCAUGAUAGAUCAGUCUGAAAGAGGUCAACAAACGUUCAUCACAUAUUCAAGACUGGUAUCUGAGUGGUCAGUACACAGCCUAUCCCAGGACAAAACAUUUGGUGCCUUGCCCGGAAAGCCAUCUCUUGCCCUGACCCUCGAGACUGCCUCUCAGAUGUAGUUGACUUCUAGAAGUGCGGGCUGACUCCCUCUCUCUGUGAGGAGGUAAGUCCCCUGAAGUGCACAGAUCUGUUUUUUGGUUUUCUAGUUUUAGACAUCUGGAAGGCUCCUAAGAGAUGCUGGGCACAGUUAUUCUCUUUGGGUCCAGGGACUCAGAGAUGCCUGGGGCCCCCCUGUGUGGAAGGGGUAAGUUAUGAUUCACCCCUUCAGGUGUGGUCAGGGUACCAGAGUCCCACCACACAGCACCGUCUGUCUUUGAAAACUGGUCCUGUCAAUAUAGAUGUCUUGUAUUUGUUUGUCUGGUUGUGCUGUUAUUCUUAAUAUAACUGUGAUUUAUACCAUUUCUCUCCCAGGGCAGUCCUGAGCCACUCCUAGUAUUCCCCUUGAGGAGAAUUUACACCAUUUUCAGGAUUUCCAGAGAGCAGCCAGCUUUGAGCCCUGUGUGAGCUCCAAUGGCUGUUCUUCAGCAUGGGGUGGCCCCCUGAGGGGCUCUUUGAAGUCUCUGAUCUUCCCAUCCAGGCUGUCAUCCUUCGUGGCACAGGUCACUCCAAUCAGAUUCCCUACAUCAUGGCUUGGUGGUACAUGUGAGCUGACCCUCCUUGCUGGUUGAAAGGUUUAGGACCUCCACCUCCUGUAAGUACAGCAGAGGAAACUGCUGUUUUCUGGAGCACUCUCACUGUCUUACCUAAGCCUUCUGCUCGCAGCCUGCUUCCCGUUCUUUCUCAGCCUGAGGAGGCUGAUGUGCCACCUCCUUACUGCAUGUCAGGGUGAGCUGCAGCAGCCGGGGCAGAGGCUGCUGCCUGUACCCUUGUCCUUUCUAACCAUCUCAUCUGCUGUAACGAGUCCAUCCCAUACUCCAUCUGGUCUCUAUUGUGGUUCCUUAACAGAGGCUUCCCCCCCCCCCCAGGGCCUUGCACUUCCUAGGCAAGCGCUCUACCACUGAGCUAAAUCCCCAACCCCCCCCCCCCAGGCUUUUCUUUUAAGUGCCAUUGCUCCCCAUCCCCCAGCUCCCUCUUCAGGAGGGAGAAAUGCCUUUUCUGGUCUAUCAGUCUUUCUCUGCUAGUGAUAUUUACAACAGGAAAGCUAAGAACCCAUGACAAAUAUCAAGCUCUGAUAUCCCUCUUGGAGACUAUCUUUCAUAGCCACCAGCCCCCCUGAGAUGGCACCCAGACAUGCUUCACCGCAGAGGAACAAGACCACAUUUGGCAGGAGGUCCUGAGUUCAAUUCCCAGCAACCACAUGGUGGCUCACAACUAUCUGUAAUGGGAUUGGAUGCCUUCUUCUGCUGUGUCUGAAGACAGCGACAGUGUAUACACACACACACACACACACACACACACACACACACACACACACACACAGAUUCUCAUGGGAUUGGGGGGGGGGGUCUCAAGGCUCCUUGAACUUGUCUAGGGUGGCCAGGUAGUACACAGUGUCCUAUGGAAUCUGCUGCCUUCUUGGAGAGACUACUGGAUGCCUACUACAACUAUUCUAUGAUCGACACCAAGACACCAGAGCCAGCUGUCAUUGAGGCUUCCAUGGGUCAAUCAGCCUCUGAUAUCCAGAAGAAGAUUCAGAAAAUUGAAGGCUUCAAAGAUAAGAACAGACAGCCACUUUGAGUGGCAAGAUCCAGAAAAUGGAUUCAGGGACAGCUGACCUGGACCAGAUUACCAACAAGGAUUCAAAACUCACCUACGAUUUUGAUGACUCAUCAGGACCAAUGUGAGUACAGGCAGACAUGCUUCUUUGCUUCAGUAUAUGGAUGAUUUGCUAAUGAAUGCCAUUGAUGUUGACUCUUAUAUAGAAGCAACCAGGUUUCCUCUAGAACCACUGCAGAAACUGAGAUAUAGGAUCUCAGCUAAGAAGGUUCAGAUUUGUGGAUCUGAAGUGACCUAUUUGGGUUUCCAGCCCAAGGGGAGUAAAGAAGUCUUUUCACCCUGUAAAGAAACCAUCUCAAGCAUCCCGAUGUCUAAGACCAGACACCAAGUAUGGAAAUUCUUGGGGUCAACUGUUUUUUUGCAGGCUCAGGAUACCAGGUUUUGCUGAAAUAGUUAAACCCCUUUGUGAGGCCACCAGGGGGCAUGAAGAGCCUUUCAUAUAGACAGCAGAAGGAAGUAGUUUGGGACUUGAAGUCAGCACUGUUCAGUUCCUGCCCUGGCGCUGCCUGAUGUGACAAAGCCCUUCCAUUUAUUUGUGGACAAAAGUUAAUGACCCUUUCAGACCUGGUCCUGCUUGAAUAUUCAGUUUAUUUCACAGAAGACAACCAGGCCUAAUAGCACCUAAGUAAUACCUCAUAAAGGACAGAUGGGGACAUACAACUGAUGAAAGAAAGAUUCUACCAAAAAUUUGGUCAGAACUUUGAUCUAGGAUCUCCAUGCCAUCACUCAUCUGGGAAUGAAUAAGAUGAAAGAAUUAAUAUCUACAAAGUUUUUUAUUCAAGGGCCAACCAAGGAAGUGGAGCAUGUUGCUACUAGAUGUCAUCCUUAUCAAAUGACAAGCCCAGCUACAAAACAAUGUAUGCUAAAAGAGAAAGAGGAACCUCACCAGGAGUCUUCUGGGAAACAAACUUCUCUGAGGUAAAACCAGGAAAAUUUGAUUACAAAUAUCUUUUAUAUUUAUAUUUUAUAUCUAUAAAAAGUUUAUAUAUACCUUCUUAGGAUGGACUGAGACAUUCUCAACCAAGAAGUAAAGUCCUCAAACUAUAAGAAACUCAUUGAGGGGCUGGAGAGAUGGCUCAGCGGUUAAGAGCACCCGACUGCUCUUCCAGAGGUCAUGAGUUCAAUUCCCAGCAACCACAUGGUGGCUUACAACCAUCUGUAAAGAGAUCUGAUGCCCUCUUCUGGUGUAUCUGAAGACAGCUACAGUGUACUUGUAUAUAAUAAAUAAAUAAAUCUUUAAAAAAAAAAAAAGAAACUCAUCGAGGAAAUAAUACCUUGGUUUAGAACUCCUAUGGCCUUGGGAUUUGACAAUGGACCAGUCUUCAUCUCUCAGGAACUCCAGAGGCUGGCCUAUGUGCCUAUGUUCAGCACCUACAUUAACUAAGGCUCACCAACCACCCCUCGUCAGUUCCAAGCUGAAGAUGUAAUCCUGGCUAAGAGACUGUAAAGGAUUCCUUGCUCCUCAAUGGAAGGGACCCUACACUGUGAUCUGAACAACCCCCACAGCUGUCAAUGUUGAUGAGAUCUACACUUGGAGCUGUCAUUCUUAUCAGAAGUCUGCUCCUCAGAAAUAUCAGGACC